AAAAAAAUUAACUGACCUAAUUAUGUUUAAAGAUGGUUGUCGACACAAAAUUGACCAAGGAUAAACCACAACAAAGCAGUUCAAAUUUCCAGUCUUAAGUAAUAUGUCUACGUCGAUAUGGGCUUGUCUUGGUUAACAUGUCCAUUAAUGAAAAAAGAAGAGAAAAGAAAGCGAACUUUGAUUUUCGACAGUGAAUAACGAAUAGACACAAUAGACUGUGAAUAGUCUUCAUCCUGUUGAAAGCCCAUCUAAACAAAGCUCUACAUCCAGAACAAUUAUAAAGAUGGUUUCUAUCAUAAUAUGAAUUAUAAAGUACUUACCUUGAAAUCUUACACCAUUUCUGCGCACCACAACUCUCCUGAAUUCGGCUCCAACAACUUGAUCACCAUAAACAACUCCUCUGGCAUCGGU
This 411-nucleotide long non-coding RNA is filed under the name Centruroides sculpturatus (bark scorpion). Its description in RNAcentral is "uncharacterized LOC111619465, transcript variant X1". The record is from RNAcentral. Lineage: Eukaryota; Metazoa; Arthropoda; Arachnida; Scorpiones; Buthidae.